UUUUUCUGGGUGCAACCUCAUACCAGGCAGCCCAACCCUGACUUACAGGAAGUUCCCAGGGGAGCUUUUCCCUGGGUUUUAUUUGCAGUAAUAGGUGGGAACAUUCUAGCAGCAGUUUGAUGAUCAUUUAUGAUACUGCAAACAGGA
Non-coding RNA from Camelus dromedarius (Arabian camel), 147 nucleotides. Lineage: Eukaryota; Metazoa; Chordata; Mammalia; Artiodactyla; Camelidae. The record is from Ensembl.